Molecule: ribosomal RNA, 425 nt
Filed under: uncultured bacterium
Lineage: Bacteria
Description: partial 16S ribosomal RNA
Rfam family: Bacterial small subunit ribosomal RNA
Source: RNAcentral
GUGGGGAAUCUUAGACAAUGGGCGCAAGCCUGAUCUAGCCAUGCCGCGUAAGCGAUGAAGGCCUUAGGGUUGUAAAGCUCUUUCAGUGGGGAAGAUAAUGACUGUACCCACAGAAGAAGCCCCGGCUAACUCCGUGCCAGCAGCCGCGGUAAUACGGAGGGGGCUAGCGUUGUUCGGAAUUACUGGGCGUAAAGCGCACGUAGGCGGACUGGAAAGUCAGGGGUGAAAUCCCGGGGCUCAACCCCGGAACUGCCUUUGAAACUCCCAGUCUUGAGGUCGAGAGAGGUGAGUGGAAUUCCGAGUGUAGAGGUGAAAUUCGUAGAUAUUCGGAGGAACACCAGUGGCGAAGGCGGCUCACUGGCUCGAUACUGACGCUGAGGUGCGAAAGCGUGGGGAGCAAACAGGAUUAGAUACCCGAGUAGUCC